AGAACCUUACCAGGUCUUGACAUCCAGUGCAAACYUAAGAGAUUAGGUGUUCCCUUCGGGGACRMUGAGACAGGUGGUGCAUGGCUGUCGUCAGCUCGUGUCGUGAGAUGUUGGGUUAAGUCCCGCAACGAGCGCAACCCUUGUCAUUAGUUGCCAUCAUUAAGUUGGGCACUCUAAUGAGACUGCCGGUGACAAACCGGAGGAAGGUGGGGAUGACGUCAAGUCAUCAUGCCCCUUAUGACCUGGGCUACACACGUGCUACAAUGGACGGUACAACGAGAAGCGAACCUGCGAAGGCAAGCGGAUCUCUUAAAGCCGUUCUCAGUUCGGACUGUAGGCUGCAACUCGCCUACACGAAGCUGGAAUCGCUAGUAAUCGCGGAUCAGCACGCCGCGGUGAAUACGUUCCCGGGUCUUGU
RNAcentral lists this ribosomal RNA (418 nucleotides) under uncultured bacterium. Its description in RNAcentral is "bacterial SSU rRNA". It matches the Rfam family "Bacterial small subunit ribosomal RNA", at positions 965 to 1384 of the family's 1533-position model. The record is from RNAcentral.